AAUGGUGGAAACACUGAACCAGCCAUGCCGCGUGGAGGAAUAAGGUCCUACGGAUUGUAAACUCCUUUUGACGAGGAAGAAAGUGUUAGAUUUAUCUAAUUUUGACGGUACUCGUAGAAUAAGCACCGGCUAACUCCGUGCCAGCAGCCGCGGUAAUACGGAGGGUGCAAGCGUUAUCCGGAUUUACUGGGUUUAAAGGGUCCGCAGGUGGGGAGGUAAGUCAGUGGUGAAAUACCCGGGCUCAACUUGGGUGCUGCCAUUGAUACUGCUUUUCUUGAGUGUAGAUGAGGUGGGCGGAAUACAGCAUGUAGCGGUGAAAUGCGUAGAUAUGCUGUAGAACACCGAUUGCGAAGGCAGCUCACUAAACUACUACUGACACUCAGGGACGAAAGCGUGGGGAUCAAA
This 405-nucleotide ribosomal RNA is filed under the name uncultured bacterium. RNAcentral's name for it is "bacterial SSU rRNA". It matches the Rfam family "Bacterial small subunit ribosomal RNA", at positions 370 to 772 of the family's 1533-position model. The record is from RNAcentral.